GAUGAAGAACGCAGCAAAAUGCGAUAAGUAAUGUGAAUUGCAGAAUUCAGUGAAUCAUCGAAUCUUUGAACGCACAUUGCGCCCGGUGGUAUUCCGGCGGGCAUGCCUGUUCGAGCGUCAUUUCAACCCUCAAGCCCCCGGGUUUGGUGUUGGGGAUCGGCUCUGCCUUCUGGCGGUGCCGCCCCCGAAAUACAUUGGCGGUCUCGCUGCAGCCUCCAUUGCGUAGUAGCUAACACCUCGCAACUGGAACGCGGCGCGGCCAUGCCGUAAAACCCCAACUUCUGAAUGUUGACCUCGGAUCAGGUAGGAAUACCCGCUGAACUUAAGCAUAUCAAUAAGCGGAGGA
This 346-nucleotide unclassified non-coding RNA is filed under the name soil metagenome. RNAcentral describes it as "partial contains 5.8S ribosomal RNA, internal transcribed spacer 2, and large subunit ribosomal RNA". The stretch from base 1 to 120 matches the Rfam family "5.8S ribosomal RNA", at positions 35 to 154 of the family's 154-position model. The record is from RNAcentral.